GCNNCUANCGNUGUGNGNUCNUCNUCUANAACAUGCAAGUCGAACGAUGAAGCCCUUCGGGGUGGAUUAGUGGCGAACGGGUGAGUAACACGUGGGCAAUCUGCCCUUCACUCUGGGACAAGCCCUGGAAACGGGGUCUAAUACCGGAUAACACCUGCCCGGGCAUCUGGGUGGGUUAAAAGCUCCGGCGGUGAAGGAUGAGCCCGCGGCCUAUCAGCUUGUUGGUGAGGUAGUGGCUCACCAAGGCGACGACGGGUAGCCGGCCUGAGAGGGCGACCGGCCACACUGGGACUGAGACACGGCCCAGACUCCUACGGGAGGCAGCAGUGGGGAAUAUUGCACAAUGGGCGAAAGCCUGAUGCAGCGACGCCGCGUGAGGGAUGACGGCCUUCGGGUUGUAAACCUCUUUCAGCAGGGAAGAAGCGAAAGUGACGGUACCUGCAGAAGAAGCGCCGGCUAACUACGUGCCAGCAGCCGCGGUAAUACGUAGGGCGCAAGCGUUGUCCGGAAUUAUUGGGCGUAAAGAGCUCGUAGGCGGCUUGUCACGUCGGGUGUGAAAGCCCGGGGCUUAACCCCGGGUCUGCAUUCGAUACGGGCUAGCUAGAGUGUGGUAGGGGAGAUCGGAAUUCCUGGUGUAGCGGUGAAAUGCGCAGAUAUCAGGAGGAACACCGGUGGCGAAGGCGGAUCUCUGGGCCAUUACUGACGCUGAGGAGCGAAAGCGUGGGGAGCGAACAGGAUUAGAUACCCUGGUAGUCCACGCCGUAAACGGUGGGAACUAGGUGUUGGCGACAUUCCACGUNGUCGGGGCCGCAGCUAACGCAUUAAGUUCCCCCCUGGGGNGUACGGCCGCANGNUNAAACUCAANGNAUUGACGGGGGCCCCCCCAANCACGGAACNUUGGNUUNNUUCCCCCAC
RNAcentral lists this ribosomal RNA (915 nucleotides) under Streptomyces sp. LK1313.1. RNAcentral's name for it is "partial 16S ribosomal RNA". It matches the Rfam family "Bacterial small subunit ribosomal RNA", at positions 26 to 957 of the family's 1533-position model. Lineage: Bacteria; Bacillati; Actinomycetota; Actinomycetes; Kitasatosporales; Streptomycetaceae. The record is from RNAcentral.